Long non-coding RNA from Arabidopsis lyrata subsp. lyrata, 442 nucleotides. RefSeq lists it as uncharacterized. The transcript is spliced from 2 exons. The record is from RefSeq and is a predicted model, not a curated record. NCBI's taxonomy places the organism in Eukaryota, Viridiplantae, Streptophyta, Magnoliopsida, Brassicales, Brassicaceae.
UAAUAUAAUUCUCACUUCAUAAAAAAAUAAAACUUAAUCCUCUUUUUGCUUCGUCUUCCCAUCAAAAGCCAAAAAUUCAAUAAUCUAGAUCCACGGAGAAAACGAAGGAGGCGAGAUUGAAUCGAAAGAAAACGAAGGAAAUAAAAUUGUUGGCAAAAAGAGAGGAUUUAGAGGGUGACAUUGAAAUCAACAAAAAAUCUCAGCAUUCAAGUAUAAAACCAGAGGAAGUCUUAGCUCUAAAGUAGAUUGUUUGUGGCGAUAUUCUGUUAUAACACCAAAAUUUGAUUCCUUCAACUCUUUUCUUUCCAGGUUUUCCAAUAAUGUUUGAUGUGUAUAGCUCUCAUUAAUAAAUCAUUUUUGCAUACUGUAACAAAUUCUAGAGUUAAAAGGCAUGCCUAAUUCUCCAAAGUUUGUUUUUAUGAAUAAAUCUGAACAGUUUUUA